Molecule: ribosomal RNA, 253 nt
Filed under: uncultured bacterium
Lineage: Bacteria
Description: partial 16S ribosomal RNA
Rfam family: Bacterial small subunit ribosomal RNA
Source: RNAcentral
UACGAAGGGGGCUAGCGUUGCUCGGAAUGACUGGGCGUAAAGGGCGCGUAGGCGGCACUGUUAGUCAGGCGUGAAAUUCCUGGGCUCAACCUGGGGGCUGCGCUUGAUACGGUAGUGCUAGAGGAUGGAAGAGGGUCGUGGAAUUCCCAGUGUAGAGGUGAAAUUCGUAGAUAUUGGGAAGAACACCGGUGGCGAAGGCGGCGACCUGGUCCAUUUCUGACGCUGAGGCGCGACAGCGUGGGGAGCAAACAGG